UACGGAGGGAGCUAGCGUUGUUCGGAAUUACUGGGCGUAAAGCGCACGUAGGCGGCUAUUCAAGUCGGGGGUGAAAGCCCGGGGCUCAACCCCGGAACUGCCCUCGAAACUAGAUAGCUAGAAUCUUGGAGAGGCGAGUGGAAUUCCGAGUGUAGAGGUGAAAUUCGUAGAUAUUCGGAAGAACACCAGUGGCGAAGGCGACUCGCUGGACAGGUAUUGACGCUGAGGUGCGAAAGCGUGGGGAGCAAACAGG
Molecule: ribosomal RNA, 253 nt
Filed under: uncultured bacterium
Lineage: Bacteria
Description: partial 16S ribosomal RNA
Rfam family: Bacterial small subunit ribosomal RNA
Source: RNAcentral